GGAGGGUAUGUGAAAAUGGUGAGAGAUGAGUUUGGAGAAGAAGAAUUGAUUGAAAUGGUUGCAGAUUUUUGCAAUGGUUCUUGGUAGAUCCAAAUGUGGGUGAGGAACACUCAGAGAGAUGAAGACGUGCUCACCAUAUCAAUCAUCAAAAAGGGAAUCAGGGCUUUGCUCUCAGUUCUAAUCAAAUAGUUAUUGGCAAGGUCUUUCUAAGCAUUUCUUGAUUACACAUUUAAUGUCACAUAAGCAAAUUUAUUGGUUAGCUAACAACAAAGGUGGUUCGGUAUCUUCAUAUAGCAUUAAGAGUUUCUAUGAUAUGUCAUGUAAAUUGAUUCAAUGUAAAUUGACAUGUCAUGUAAAUUGCUCUAUUUUACAACUUA
Long non-coding RNA from Trifolium pratense (red clover), 377 nucleotides. RefSeq lists it as uncharacterized. The transcript has 2 exons. Lineage: Eukaryota; Viridiplantae; Streptophyta; Magnoliopsida; Fabales; Fabaceae. The record is from RefSeq and is a predicted model, not a curated record.